RNAcentral lists this ribosomal RNA (403 nucleotides) under Fusobacteriota bacterium. RNAcentral's name for it is "Fusobacteria bacterium partial 16S ribosomal RNA". It matches the Rfam family "Bacterial small subunit ribosomal RNA", at positions 355 to 776 of the family's 1533-position model. The record is from RNAcentral. Lineage: Bacteria; Fusobacteriati; Fusobacteriota.
UGGGGAAUUUUGCACAAUGGUGGAAACUCUGAUGCAGCGACGCCGCGUGAGUGAUGAAGAUCUUCGGAUUGUAAAACUCUGUCCUUAGUGAAGAUAAUGACAGUAACUAAGAAGCAAGCCCUGGCUAAAUACGUGCCAGCAGCCGCGGUAAUACGUAUGGGGCAAGCGUUGUCCGGAAUUAUUGGGCGUAAAGGGUACGUAGGCGGUUUAAUAAGUCCUAAUUAAAAGGCUAUGGCUCAACCAUAGUAUGGUUAGGAAACUGUUGAACUUGAGUAGAUGAGGGGAAAGUGGAAUUCCAUGUGUAGCGGUGAAAUGCGUAGAUAUAUGGAGGAACACCAAUGGCGAAGGCAACUUUCUGGAAUCAAACUGACGCUGAGGUACGAAGGCGUGGGGAGCAAACAGG